UACGUAGGGUGCAAGCGUUAAUCGGAAUUACUGGGCGUAAAGCGUGCGCAGGCGGUUUUGUAAGACAGUGGUGAAAUCCCCGGGCUCAACCUGGGAACUGCCAUUGUGACUGCAAGGCUGGAGUGGGGCAGAGGGGGAUGGAAUUCCGCGUGUAGCAGUGAAAUGCGUAGAUAUGCGGAGGAACACCGAUGGCGAAGGCAAUCCCCUGGGCCUGCACUGACGCUCAUGCACGAAAGCGUGGGGAGCAAACAGGAUUAGAUUCCCUGGUAGUCCACGCCCUAAACGAUGUCAACUGGUUGUUGGGGAUUUAUUUUCUCAGUAACGAAGCUAACGCGUGAAGUUGACCGCCUGGGGAGUACGGCCGCAAGGUUAAAACUCAAAUGAAUUGACGGGG
RNAcentral lists this ribosomal RNA (394 nucleotides) under uncultured bacterium. RNAcentral describes it as "partial 16S ribosomal RNA". It matches the Rfam family "Bacterial small subunit ribosomal RNA", at positions 524 to 918 of the family's 1533-position model. The record is from RNAcentral.